CCGGCGACCGGCGCACGGGUGAGUAACACGUAUGCAACCUGCCCUCUUCAGGGGGACAACCUUCCGAAAGGGAGGCUAAUCCCGCGUAUAUCGGUUUCGGGCAUCCGAGAUCGAGGAAAGAUUCAUCGGAAGAGGAUGGGCAUGCGACGCAUUAGCUAGACGGCGGGGUAACGGCCCACCGUGGCGACGAUGCGUAGGGGUUCUGAGAGGAAGGUCCCCCACACUGGUACUGAGACACGGACCAGACUCCUACGGAAGGCAGCAG
RNAcentral lists this ribosomal RNA (265 nucleotides) under uncultured bacterium. Its description in RNAcentral is "partial 16S ribosomal RNA". It matches the Rfam family "Bacterial small subunit ribosomal RNA", at positions 88 to 354 of the family's 1533-position model. The record is from RNAcentral.